Molecule: ribosomal RNA, 913 nt
Filed under: uncultured bacterium
Lineage: Bacteria
Description: bacterial SSU rRNA
Rfam family: Bacterial small subunit ribosomal RNA
Source: RNAcentral
AACGAACGCUAGCGGCGUGCUUUAGACAUGCAAGUCGAACGGUAAGGCCCCCUUCGGGGGGUACACGAGUGGCGCACGGGUGAGUAACGCGUGGGCAACCUACCCUCGGGUUUGGGACAACUCCGGGAAACUGGAGCUAAUACCAAAUAAGACACGGAGUCCUCGGGCUCUGUGGGAAAAGAUGGCCUCUUCUCGAAAGCUAUCGCCCGUCGAUGAGCCCGCGUGCCAUUAGCUUGUUGGUGGGGUAACGGCUCACCAAGGCGACGAUGGUUAGCUGGUCUGAGAGGAUGAUCAGCCACACUGGAACUGAGACACGGUCCAGACUCCUACGGGAGGCAGCAGUCGGGAAUCUUGGGCAAUGGGCGAAAGCCUGACCCAGCAACGCCGCGUGAGGGAUGAAGGCCCCCGGGUCGUAAACCUCUGUCGGGAGGGAAGAACAGGCUCUGGGCGAAUAGGCCAGGGUUUUGACGGUACCUCCAAAGGAAGCGCCGGCUAACUCCGUGCCAGCAGCCGCGGUAAUACGGAGGGCGCAAGCGUUGUUCGGAAUUAUUGGGCGUAAAGCGCGUGUAGGUGGCGAGGAAAGUUGGGUGUGAAAGCCCGGGGCCCAACCCCGGAACUGCACUCAAAACUUCCUCGCUAGAGUCCCGGAGAGGAAGGCGGAAUUCCCGGUGUAGAGGUGAAAUUCGUAGAUAUCGGGAGGAACACCAGUGGCGAAGGCGGCCUUCUGGACGGUGACUGACACUGAGACGCGAAAGCGUGGGGAGCAAACAGGAUUAGAUACCCUGGUAGUCCACGCCGUAAACGUUGUGUGCUAGGUGUCGCGGGUACUGACCCCUGCGGUGCCGUCGUUAACGCAUUUAGCACACCGCCUGGGGAGUACGGUCGCAAGGCUAAAACUCAAAGGAAUUGACGG